RNAcentral lists this ribosomal RNA (255 nucleotides) under uncultured bacterium. Its description in RNAcentral is "partial 16S ribosomal RNA". It matches the Rfam family "Bacterial small subunit ribosomal RNA", at positions 524 to 776 of the family's 1533-position model. The record is from RNAcentral.
CACGUAGGGCGCAAGCGUUGUCCGGAAUUAUUGGGCGUAAAGAGCUCGUAGGCGGUCUGUUGCGUCCGCUGUGAAAACUCGGGGCUCAACCCUGAGACGUCGGUUGAAACCAUCUGGCUAGAGUCCGGAAGAGGCGAGUGGAAUUCCUGGUGUAGCGGUGAAAAUGCGCAGAUAUCAGGAGGAACACCAAUUGCGAAGGGCAGCUCGCUGGGACGUUACUGACGCUGAGACGCGAAAGCGUGGGGAGCAAACAGG